AUACGGAAGAUGCGAGCGUUAUCCGGAUUUAUUGGGUUUAAAGGGAGCGUAGGCGGGCUUUUAAGUCUGCGGUAAAAUGGCCGUGCUCAACGCGGUCCUGCCGUGGAAACUGGGAGUCUUGAAUGUGCACAAGGAAGGUGGAAUUCGUGGUGUAGCGGUGAAAUGCUUAGAUAUCACGAAGAACUCCGAUUGCGAAGGCAGCCUUCUGGGGCAUGAUUGACGCUGAGGCUCGAAAGCGCGGGAAUCAAACAGGAUUAGAUACCCUGGUAGUCCGCGCCGUAAACGAUGUCUACUAGCCGUUGGGGCCCUUGAGGCUUUAGUGGCGCAGCUAACGCGAUAAGUAGACCGCCUGGGGAGUACGGUCGCAAGACUAAAACUCAAAGGAAUUGGCGGGG
Molecule: ribosomal RNA, 395 nt
Filed under: uncultured bacterium
Lineage: Bacteria
Description: partial 16S ribosomal RNA
Rfam family: Bacterial small subunit ribosomal RNA
Source: RNAcentral